Anas platyrhynchos (mallard) is the source of this 1831-nucleotide non-coding RNA. Lineage: Eukaryota; Metazoa; Chordata; Aves; Anseriformes; Anatidae. The record is from RefSeq and is a predicted model, not a curated record.
GAUAAUGAGCUUCAAUAUUACAACUUUAAUCGGAUACAAAUAAAUCCCACGCUGCACCAGUAACAUCUGUAGUCAUCCAGGUUGAAAAUAACUGGAUACAAUAUAUUAUUGUCUGUGGCCUUCCUGCUUCAUGCUUCUUUCCAGCAAUGCAGGGCUGCCUAAAUGGCAGGAAACCCAGACAGGCUCUGCUGCGUGAGCCCAGCCACUUCCAGCUGGUCUGAAAGCUUUGCUUGGUGAACAAUCACCGGCAGGCUGGGAAAAAAAGCCUCUCUUUGAGGAGGAAAGCUGUUUGCUCUGUGCAGUUUUGGUUCCCUGUUUUGACAUGACCUCAUUUUUAACCUUGGACACGGCAAGCAGCAUGACUUGGGAAAAAAAGCAAGACUUUAUUGCGUGUAAGCGCAGUGCACAAACACACCUCCCUGCUGCCCAGCUGCUGAAGUUACCAAGAUUCAGGUCCUCCUCUUAGGGCAAGGAAGGGUGUCCGAGUGCAGCACCUGCAGCUCCCGGCUGGCCGGGGAAGGUGAAAGAGAAACCAAGGCACGCGGCAGGAGCCGCCACUGCCCACGUCAGCACGGCAGGCGCUGGGCUGGGCUGUGACCGUCAGCAGGGCAGCGCAGCCACUCCUUUCGGCAAGUUCGGCAUUCAGCCUGCAGAGGAACUACUCGUCCUUGCUGCUGAACCUCAGUGGAGAAGCUCGGUGCCGCGGUACAUCUCUACCAGCAGUCCCCCAGUGUAAACACCGAGUGAUUCCGAAACCCGUGGGCUCGUCCCAGGGUUAGAAGGCAGCCCCAGAAGGCUGCAGAAACACCGUGGCUGUUGCAGGUGCCAUCAGCCCAGCAAAUGCAAGAGGAGCCCCCGGCGCCCGAGGAGGAGCCACUGAAAGCCGAGGGAGAGCAGAGCAUGCAGCACUGUACACAUUUGCAUAGUAUGUUUUACCCAGCAUGCCUCGUCGAAUGCUACACAGACAGUAUCUAUAGAGGAAAUACUUGUAAGGCAAGUGAUCUGUGGUAUGUGACGUUUACAGACAAGGCAGUCAAACGCGGUGUCAGCAGCAGGACCCAGUCCAGACAGUCCCGCACUGCCAAGACGUCUGAGGGGAAAAGAAACCACCAGCAACGCUCUGCGAAUGGGCACUGGCAGCUGCCCUGCUGGAGGCACCGAGCGCCCUCCGCCCCAUGCCUGCUGGCGUGCCUGGGUCGCUCAGAGCCAGCCAGAAAGACGCGGUGCCAGAAGCGGGCUCGGCAAUGAGAAGUGGUGUGCCUAGCGAGACACGGGGCGUGCUUCACGAACUCCUCUUGCUUAGCAAGUACAGAAUAUGGGGCACCACCUCAUUUCCAUGGUAAGACGAUAUUUCAGAGGAAAAUCUAGGCAUAGGGCCACGCUGCACUAGCGGUGCUUGACUGAUUUUUACCAGCCCACCACGUUUAGAAAAUGAUCACAGAAUUUGGCCUACUAUUUAUAAACUAAAAUGUGACGUAGAACGGCUUUAAUUGUCUUCCCUUUUAAACAGCAAUUUCAUAAUAUACUCACUGAGAAAACACCGUCAGUUGUGAGGUGCACAUCCCAUAGGAUAACUGCUCGGCCAUGUAGCUAAGUAUAAGAACCUGUACAUCUGUUAAAUACAACUUGCCAAAAAGGAAAUACUUUGAAUUAAGAAUUUAACAGUGAAUGGUCUUUAAAGGGGCUACAAGAUUUUUGAAAUACUUUGCUAAUCCAUUCACAAGCACAUGAAUGCACUGACAUAUAUUGUCUUUAGACCUUAAUACUGCCGUAUCACUUUUAUUGGGCAAACUAUCAGCAAUCCAAAAGUGUCCUAACAAAAAAAAAAAAA